Molecule: ribosomal RNA, 240 nt
Filed under: Thermothelomyces thermophilus
Lineage: Eukaryota; Fungi; Ascomycota; Sordariomycetes; Sordariales; Chaetomiaceae
Description: partial small subunit ribosomal RNA
Rfam family: Eukaryotic small subunit ribosomal RNA
Source: RNAcentral
CCGGGUAAUCUUGUUAAACUCUGUCGUGCUGGGGAUAGAGCAUUGCAAUUAUUGCUCUUCAACGAGGAAUCCCUAGUAAGCGCAAGUCAUCAGCUUGCGUUGAUUACGUCCCUGCCCUUUGUACACACCGCCCGUCGCUACUACCGAUUGAAUGGCUCAGUGAGGCUUUCGGACUGGCCCAGAGAGGUCGGCAACGACCACUCAGGGCCGGAAAGUUAUCCAAACUCGGUCAUUAGAGAA